Molecule: long non-coding RNA, 976 nt
Organism: Cyprinus carpio carpio
Lineage: Eukaryota; Metazoa; Chordata; Actinopteri; Cypriniformes; Cyprinidae
Source: Ensembl
GAAUCGAAUGGACCAUGAUCAGUAAAAAUUUACAUGAAGAAUGGAAUGCAUCACAUUAUUCAUGCGAGCCUUUGCAAGCAGAUGUCCAAGACUGCUGUAUGAGUUCGUAUUUUUGGGCCAAACAGAGACAAAUUGCAGCUUGGCAAGGCAUCGUGCAUCUGUGAUUUUGGAACAGGUGUUAACAGACCUGAAGAUGCAUUUUUAUUCGACAUCAAUGGGAAAAACACAACCUGUGCAGGUUUUCUGCUGCAGACUAAUGUAAAUUAAUGACCAUGUGGUGUGAAAAACAUCCUCACUCCAUUUUUCACAAUGCAUAUGCUACAAAACAAAGACUUAAAGGCAUUGAUUUUAAAAGUUCCUGCAUCUGUAUCCUAAAAUGUCAAACAGUUUUCAAGACAAGGCAGUAAGUAUUGUGUGAAUGACAGGCAACCUGGUCUUGUCACCAUAAAAUGCAAAAAGAAUAAAUAAUAAUAAUAAUAAUAAUAAUAAUAAUAAUAAUAAUAAUAAUAAUUAAUCAAAUGAAGUAUAUUACAAAUUAUAUUAAAUGUAAAAAUUAAAAUAUAAAUAUUAAAUAUCAAAUUAAAAUAUUUUCUGUGCAGUGUUUUUUUCUAAGUAUUAUUGAGAUACUAUAACAGUUUUUAAUAUUUUGAAUGUUUUUAUAUUUCCCAUUCAUUUUGAUUCUAACGUUUAAAAUAAACGAAAAUGAAAAAAGUAGGUCACGAAUAAUAUAAAACAUGAAAUUCAAACAUAAGUGAAAAUUAAAUAUUUCUGUAAAUAAUUAAUUAUUUGUUGUGCAGUCAUUUUAGUAGAUUUUAUAAAAAUUUAACCAAUUUAAAUUUUUGUAUUUUCUGUUUUUAUUUUAAUUUAUGUCAGUUUUAAAAUAAAAUAAAGUAUUGCUAAUUUUAUUAAACUAAAUUUAAACAAAAAAAUAAAAUAAUAAAUGUAAAAAUUACAAUAAACUAUAUGUGCAGUGUUG